CCCGCACAAGCGGUGGAGCAUGUGGUUUAAUUCGAUGAUACGCGAGGAACCUUACCUGGGCUCAAAUGUAUGUUGACGUAUUCUGAAAGGGAUACUUCUUCGGACAAUAUACAAGGUGCUGCAUGGUUGUCGUCAGCUCGUGCCGUGAGGUGUCGGGUUAAGUCCCAUAACGAGCGCAACCCUUGCCUUUAGUUGCCAGCAGUUCGGCUGGGCACUCUAAAGGGACUGCCGGUGUUAAACCGGAGGAAGGUGGGGAUGACGUCAAGUCCUCAUGGCCUUUAUGACCAGGGCUACACACGUACUACAAUGGCCGAUACAAAGGGCAGCGACACUGCGAGGUGAAGCCAAUCCCGUAAAAUCGGUCUCAGUCCGGAUUGGAGUCUGCAACUCGACUCCAUGAAGUUGGAAUCGCUAGUAAUCGUGGAUCAGCAUGCCACGGUGAAUACGUUCCCGGGCCUU
Molecule: ribosomal RNA, 459 nt
Filed under: uncultured Desulfobulbus sp.
Lineage: Bacteria; Pseudomonadati; Thermodesulfobacteriota; Desulfobulbia; Desulfobulbales; Desulfobulbaceae
Description: bacterial SSU rRNA
Rfam family: Bacterial small subunit ribosomal RNA
Source: RNAcentral